Long non-coding RNA from Cucurbita maxima (winter squash), 2445 nucleotides. RefSeq lists it as uncharacterized. The transcript is spliced from 2 exons. The record is from RefSeq and is a predicted model, not a curated record. Lineage: Eukaryota; Viridiplantae; Streptophyta; Magnoliopsida; Cucurbitales; Cucurbitaceae.
GCCGAAGUCAAGGCAGCAUUGCCGCUGAGCGGCGAUUCCUCUGCAAUUUUCGAUGGCCAAGAAAGUGUUUCUCUACGCCUCCUCUGAACCAGGUGUGGUGGAUUAAUCAAACAUUCACAAGGGGUAUUUAGAGGGUAGUCAAUCUAUUCCUAAAAUUUCUAACCUUCCUUCUAAAAUACUUAAACAUUUUCCUAAAUCAUUUUUCUAAAUUUAUUUUUAAAAUCCUAAAUCAUAAAUAUAAUUACUCAUACAAUGAUUGGGCUUAACCCUAUUGGGCUAGUGAUGACAUUUUAACACUCCCCUUAGCACUAGUCAUAAUUCGUUGCACCAUGUUGAGCUGACAACGAAAACUCAUAUGUUUGCCAAUAUUUAGUCAUUUUGUAAACAAGUCUGCCACUUGAUCAUCUGUCUUGAUCUGCUUCAUCUCGAUUUCUUCCUUCAAGUCUUUCUCUCUAAUGAAAUGGUAGUGUACCUCCCCAUACUUUGUUCUAGCAUGAAGCAUCGGAUUUUCUGUUAGAUGAAUUGCAGAUUGGUUGUCGCAAUGAAGUGGUAUUGGAUAAUCAUUUUUUGGUGCCAAUCUUCCAUCAAGAGUUUCAACAAUAUACUUUCCUGAGCUGCUUCAGUUGCUACUUUGUACUCUGUUUCUUUGAUACUUGACCUUUGAGAAUUGUGAUACCGUUUGACAUAUCUCAAGGUCUGUCGGGCCGCAUCCAAAUGAGGCUUCUUUAGACUUCGCAUAUACUGACUAAUGACCCCAACUUCAUUUUCGAAUCCAUUUGGUUGGUUCAUGUAGAUCUCUUGGUCCAAUUCUCCAUGCAAGAAAAUAUUCUUUAUAUCCAUCUGCCAAAAUUUCCAUUCUUUAUUAACAAGUGCUGGAGGAACCUGUAUGAUAGUGAUCUUCGCCACUGGACUAAACAUUUCAUCAUAGUCUAGUCCAUAUUGUUGACAAAACCCUCGAGCUACAGGUCGAGUCUUGUAUUUUGAUUGAUCCAUCCGAGAGACACGUUAUUUCGUAAGCCCACUUGCAAGAGAUGAGUUUGUUAUCUCUUGGUCUUGGCAUUGAUUCCCAAGUUUGAUUUUGUUACAAGGCUAUAAUUUCUUCCUCCAUCGCUUUUUGCCAAGUUGAGUUUUGUGAUGCUUCUUCAUAUGUCUCCGGCUCAUGAACUUCGUCUUCUACUGCGUUGGCAUACUUUGGAUUUGGCUUUAGGAUUAUUUCUGAAUGUCUGAGUUGUUGAGGUGUCAUUUCAUUUUCACUAGGUUUGCUUGGUUGAGUCACUUCUUGCUCACCAACACUAGUGUCACUUGAAUUUUCAGGCACAUCAGCACUUAAGCAAAUGUGUACAGUUUGCUCCCCCAUCUUCUGUGGAAGAAUUUCUUCAAUUUGCUCAAGGUUUGGUAAUACUUCCCUCUCUGAGGGCCACUCAUCUUCCAUUGCACCACUUUGAUCAUCAAUCAUGUGGUUUGAACAUCCUAAAUCAAUGAUCCAAUAAUUCUCAUAAUGGUCUCCCAUUAUCGCCAUGAGUACUAGCUCAUCUUCUUCUAUGGCAUAGAGUACCUCUGCAUCCCAUUCCUCCUCCAUCUCCAUGUUGGAGGAUGCCACAUUGCUUUCAACCGAAUUUUUCUUGGACCAACAAUCUUUGAACAUGUGGCCCUUCUUCCCACAAUUGUAGCAGAUGCCUUCAAAUCUCUUCCCUUGAGAGUUAUUCUAAUCGUUCUCCUGAGCUCUUUCUGGUUGUACAGUUCUUUGGUGACUUCUUCUUUUGUCACCAUUGUAUCCACGUUUGGGAGACGACUUAUUAUUGCUUCGACUUUCACUUGUGUAGAGUGCUUCUUCUUCACCCUUCAAUGUGAUGCCUCCUAUUUGUUUAGCCAUGGCUUCUUGGCUGGCUAACAAGUUUUCGAACUCUACAAGUGAUAGUUGAGUGAACCAUCCUUGUACAACAAUAAUGAAGCUUCGAUAUUCUGGUCGCAAUCCAUGGAUUAUGAUCCUCUUCAUUCAAGAUUCUACAAUAGCGGACUUCGGGUCUAGUUCAGUAAUCUCCCAACAAAUUGAGUGAACCAUCCAUGGAUUGUGAAAAUACUGAGCAAUCUUCAUGUCACAUUGUAAAAUUGACAACAACUCAUUCUCCAAAAGUUGUAGCCUCAUAUUAUUCUUCUUCGAGAACAAUAUCAUGAAAGUGUCUCAUGCUUCUUUCGGUGUCUUGUCAUCCAAAAUAUGCUCUAACAUCUCUUCUCCGAUUGUGGUCUUCAAGGAAAACAUUGUUUUGCCUGCUUUGAUUCUCCAUUUGUGCAAGACGCCGUUAGAAUCAUCCUCUGGCAGCGUAGUUUUGCACUCGCCAACGAUCUCCUAAAGAUCACGUCCUUGUAAAUAGGACAUCAUGCAUGUUGCCCACGUGUUGUAGUUUGUUAUUGAGUUUCUUGAUUCCUCCAAUGAUUUGGAAAUCA